RNAcentral lists this ribosomal RNA (239 nucleotides) under uncultured bacterium. RNAcentral's name for it is "partial 16S ribosomal RNA". It matches the Rfam family "Bacterial small subunit ribosomal RNA", at positions 15 to 235 of the family's 1533-position model. The record is from RNAcentral.
GAUCCUGGCUCAGGACGAACGCUGGCGGCGUGCCUAACACAUGCAAGUCGAACGGAGUAUUUUAGCGGAAGUUUUCGGAUGGAAGCUGAUUUACUUAGUGGCGGACGGGUGAGUAACACGUGAGUAACCUGCCUCUCAGAGGGGGAUAACGUCUUGAAAAGGACGCUAAUACCGCAUGACAUCUUGUGACCGCAUGGUUGUGAGAUCAAAGGAGCAAUCCGCUGAGAGAUGGACUCGCG